AAUAGAUACCCUGGUAGUCCACGCCGUAAACGAUGUCGACUUGGAGGUUGUUCCCUUGAGGAGUGGCUUCCGGAGCUAACGCGUUAAGUCGACCGCCUGGGGAGUACGGCCGCAAGGUUAAAACUCAAAUGAAUUGACGGGGGCCCGCACAAGCGGUGGAGCAUGUGGUUUAAUUCGAUGCAACGCGAAGAACCUUACCUACUCUUGACAUCCAGAGAACUUAGCAGAGAUGCUUUGGUGCCUUCGGGAACUCUGAGACAGGUGCUGCAUGGCUGUCGUCAGCUCGUGUUGUGAAAUGUUGGGUUAAGUCCAGCAACGAGCGCAACCCUUAUCCUUUGUUGCCAGCGGUCCGGCCGGGAACUCAAAGGAGACUGCCAGUGAUAAACUGGAGGAAGGUGGGGAUGACGUCAAGUCAUCAUGGCCCUUACGAGUAGGGCUACACACGUGCUACAAUGGCGCAUACAAAGAGAAGCGACCUCGCGAGAGCAAGCGGACCUCAUAAAGUGCGUCGUAGUCCGGA
RNAcentral lists this ribosomal RNA (520 nucleotides) under uncultured bacterium. RNAcentral's name for it is "bacterial SSU rRNA". It matches the Rfam family "Bacterial small subunit ribosomal RNA", at positions 777 to 1297 of the family's 1533-position model. The record is from RNAcentral.